This 64-nucleotide transfer RNA is filed under the name Nudobius lentus. RNAcentral describes it as "tRNA-Pro". Lineage: Eukaryota; Metazoa; Arthropoda; Insecta; Coleoptera; Staphylinidae. The record is from RNAcentral.
CAGAGAAUAGUUUAUUAAAAUAUUAAUUUUGGAGAUUAAAGAUGGAAAAUUUUUCUUUCUCUGA